AGUGAACGCUGGCGGUAGGCCUAACACAUGCAAGUCGAACGGCAGCACAGUAAGAGCUUGCUCUUACGGGUGGCGAGUGGCGGACGGGUGAGGAAUACAUCGGAAUCUACUUUUUCGUGGGGGAUAACGUAGGGAAACUUACGCUAAUACCGCAUACGACCUACGGGUGAAAGCAGGGGAUCUUCGGACCUUGCGCGAUUGAAUGAGCCGAUGUCGGAUUAGCUAGUUGGCGGGGUAAAGGCCCACCAAGGCGACGAUCCGUAGCUGGUCUGAGAGGAUGAGCAGCCACCCUGGAACUGAGACACGGUCCAGACUCCUACGGGAGGCAGCAGUGGGGAAUAUUGGACAAUGGGCGCAAGCCUGAUCCAGCCAUACCGCGUGGGUGAAGAAGGCCUUCGGGUUGUAAAGCCCUUUUGUUGGGAAAGAAAAGCAGCAGGUUAAUACCCCGCUGUUCUGACGGUACCCAAAGAAUAAGCACCGGCUAACUUCGUG
RNAcentral lists this ribosomal RNA (492 nucleotides) under uncultured bacterium. RNAcentral describes it as "partial 16S ribosomal RNA". It matches the Rfam family "Bacterial small subunit ribosomal RNA", at positions 29 to 507 of the family's 1533-position model. The record is from RNAcentral.